UACACCAAUUAAAGUUGCCAAUUGGGGA
RNAcentral lists this small RNA (28 nucleotides) under Bombyx mori (domestic silkworm). RNAcentral describes it as "ovarian small RNA-20191". The record is from RNAcentral. Lineage: Eukaryota; Metazoa; Arthropoda; Insecta; Lepidoptera; Bombycidae.